GAGAAUUUUUCACAAUGGGGGAAACCCUGAUGGAGCGACGCCGCGUGGAGGAUGAAGGCCUUCGGGUUGUAAACUCCUGUCAUGCGGGAACAAGAAAGUGAUAGUACCGCAAGAGGAAGAGACGGCUAACUCUGUGCCAGCAGCCGCGGUAAUACAGAGGUCUCAAGCGUUGUUCGGAUUCAUUGGGCGUAAAGGGUGCGUAGGUGGCGAUGUAAGUCUGGUGUGAAAUCUCGGGGCUCAACCUCGAAAUUGCAUUGGAUACUGCGUUGCUAGAGGAUUGUAGAGGAGAGUGGAAUUCACGGUGUAGCAGUGAAAUGCGUAGAUAUCGUGAGGAAGACCAGUUGCGAAGGCGACUCUCUGGGCAACUCCUGACACUGAGGCACGAAGGCUAGGGUAGCAAACG
RNAcentral lists this ribosomal RNA (403 nucleotides) under uncultured prokaryote. RNAcentral describes it as "bacterial SSU rRNA". It matches the Rfam family "Bacterial small subunit ribosomal RNA", at positions 357 to 774 of the family's 1533-position model. The record is from RNAcentral.